This 253-nucleotide ribosomal RNA is filed under the name uncultured bacterium. RNAcentral describes it as "partial 16S ribosomal RNA". It matches the Rfam family "Bacterial small subunit ribosomal RNA", at positions 524 to 776 of the family's 1533-position model. The record is from RNAcentral.
UACAGAGGUCCCAAGCGUUGUUCGGAUUUACUGGGCGUAAAGGGAGCGUAGGUGGCAUUCUAAGUCUGAUGUGAAAGCUCUGAGCUUAACUCAGAAAUGGCAUUAGAAACUAGUUUGCUUGAGGAUUGGAGGGGAGAUUGGAAUUCUUGGUGUAGCAGUGAAAUGCGUAGAUAUCAAGAGGAACACCAGUGGCGAAGGCGAAUCUCUGGACAACUCCUGACGCUGAGGCACGAAGGUCAGGGGAGCAAACGGG